Molecule: long non-coding RNA, 875 nt
Organism: Neoarius graeffei (lesser salmon catfish)
Lineage: Eukaryota; Metazoa; Chordata; Actinopteri; Siluriformes; Ariidae
Exons: 2
Source: RefSeq, a predicted model, not a curated record
ACACAGAACGAAAAAGGUGACGCGCCAUCGGCUUUCAUUUGUCUUUAUUUCAUCGACUGCUGCAGAACAGGCCUGAAACACCACCACGAUGAAGUUCAGUAUGGCCACAUGUCUCCUGCUUUUGCCUAUAAUGUGCAGCAUUUUUAUGGAGGUUGAAAUGCAACCUAAGCCCACCAACAGCACCAGCACCAACAGCACCAGCACCAACAGCACUUCGAGCGGCUCUGGAUCAAGCUCUGGAUCAAGCUCUGGCUCAAGCUCUGGCUCAAGCUCUGGCUCAAGCUCUGGCUCAAGCUCUGGAUCAAGCUCCACUGGAUCCCAAGAAAAUUCAUCUAAUAGUGGGGCUCUGUCCACCAGCUUCCUUUCCCCACAUGGAAACAUGCUGCUCCUUUUCACUGUGGCAGUCAUGCUUUCCAUGGCACUGUUGAUGAAGUAGCAGAUACAAUCCAGCUAUGCAGUUAAGGAAUGCUCCAAACCCUCAGAUCAUCUAAUACGAAUCUAAUAACCGAGUAGAUGGAAUAUAUACACAUAUACACACGCGCACAAUUUUUCUGUAACGGUAAUUAGUUAUAUUAUUGAUAUACUACUUGUACUUCUAUGAUCUUUUCACUUCCAAUUUCUCAAAAAAAAAAAAAUGAGUGAUGUAACUGUUGAACUUGUCAACACUGUUCUUUCAAAACAAGACCAAUGAUCCUUCUUUUCUACUCAAGGGACAUAAGGGCUAUAAAGAACCAAAGGAACUGUCUAUGGCACACUACUAGUUAACUGGAAAAGCAUUAAUAGGUCUACAGAACAUCUAAAAGACGACUACCAUGAUGUAAACUGAUGUAGAUGGUUGUAAAGGUGAUGUAGAUUAAAUACUUUCUGUACACUUA